CGACAGAUGACUACAAUUCCCGGCAGGCGCGGCGUCCCGAGAGCUGCAGCCGUUCGAGGCGGAAGCGUCGGAUAAAAUCGAGACAUUUGUUGAGUUGUUCUUUUUGGAGAGAAAUAUUAUAAAAGCAGGAAUAAAGGAUGGUCUGACUAAUCAUUAAUGCCUGCCGCUAUGUGGCAAACAAGAUCAGCAGUGUUCUAAGCAAGCAGGGAAGUCCAUCCUCUGGCGAGUCCAAGGCACAAAGCAGCCAAGUCAAAGAUGAAAAGUAUGAUCCGGUAAAUGCAUCGCAGGAUGACGACUUGCUCCCAGAAACGCUGCCAAAAUCGGGACCUGUGGCCCAGCAAUGUGGGUCCUGAGGAUAGAGACUGCACCAGUCUAGCUCUUGGAAAUGCAGAUUGGUGCACUGCGGCCUCCACCUGACAAGGUGGUAUAUCCACUCAACGGCAAAGAAUGAAGAUGUGCUCAGCAACUCGCUGACCAGGGAGAUGAGCAUUUCUGAAAAUACUUGCUGUGUUUUUAAAGUUUUCCAAUUAAAAAUUAAUCAUGCUUAA
Molecule: long non-coding RNA, 548 nt
Organism: Pristis pectinata (smalltooth sawfish)
Lineage: Eukaryota; Metazoa; Chordata; Chondrichthyes; Rhinopristiformes; Pristidae
Exons: 3
Source: RefSeq, a predicted model, not a curated record